AAAAAUCAAUAAUAAUUUUAAAAAAAUUAUCGAUUGAAGAGAUUUUUUCGAGUGACAUAUCAAAUAAGCCCUGAAGGAGCGAGUUCAAUUUCCUUAGAGAUCAAAGACAUUUACAUUCCGGAUUGAUUGCAAGAUAGGGUCGAUGGAUGUCAUUGCAUAGAUUAGAACUUCAACAAUAAAAUCAUGUGCAUAAUUUAAUUUAGAGGAGAAUAAAAGAGAAGAGAGGGGAGAA
Molecule: long non-coding RNA, 232 nt
Filed under: Elaeis guineensis (African oil palm)
Lineage: Eukaryota; Viridiplantae; Streptophyta; Magnoliopsida; Arecales; Arecaceae
Description: long non-coding RNA (EGUI_LNC019309)
Source: RNAcentral